RNAcentral lists this ribosomal RNA (255 nucleotides) under uncultured bacterium. Its description in RNAcentral is "partial 16S ribosomal RNA". It matches the Rfam family "Bacterial small subunit ribosomal RNA", at positions 524 to 776 of the family's 1533-position model. The record is from RNAcentral.
GACGUAGGGCGCGGAGCGUUGUCCGGAUUUAUUGGGCGUAAAGAGCUACGUAGGCGGCUUGUCGCGUCGACUGUGAAAUCCCGCGGCUCAACUGCGGGUCUGCAGUCGAUACGGGCAGGCUAGAGUUCGGUAGGGGAGACUGGAAUUCCUGGUGUAGCGGUGAAAUGCGCAAAUAUCAGGAGGAACACCGAUGGCGAAGGCAGGUCUCUGGGCCGAUACUGACGCUGAGGAGCGAAAGCGUGGGGAGCGAACAGG